This is a transfer RNA of Sclerotinia sclerotiorum, 72 nucleotides long. It matches the Rfam family "tRNA". From Rfam's summary of the family: Transfer RNA (tRNA) molecules are approximately 80 nucleotides in length. Their secondary structure includes four short double-helical elements and three loops (D, anti-codon, and T loops). Lineage: Eukaryota; Fungi; Ascomycota; Leotiomycetes; Helotiales; Sclerotiniaceae. The record is from Rfam.
AAGGGAUUAGCUCAAAGGUAGAGCAACCGUUUUACACACGGUUGGUUAGGUGUUCAAGUCACCUAUUCCUUA